CCUACGGGAGGCUGCAGUGGGGAAUAUUGGACAAUGGGGGGAACCCUGAUCCAGCCAUGCCGCGUGUGUGAAGAAGGCCCUCGGGUUGUAAAGCACUUUCAGUGAGGAAGAACGCCUGGUGGUUAAUACCCAUCAGGAAAGACAUCACUCACAGAAGAAGCACCGGCUAACUCCGUGCUAGCAGCCGCGGUAAUACGGAGGGUGCGAGCGUUAAUCGGAAUUACUGGGCGUAAAGCGCGCGUAGGUGGCUUGAUAAGCCGGUUGUGAAAGCCCCGGGCUCAACCUGGGAACGGCAUCCGGAACUGUCAAGCUAGAGUGCAGGAGAGGAAGGUAGAAUUCCCGGUGUAGCGGUGAAAUGCGUAGAGAUCGGGAGGAAUACCAGUGGCGAAGGCGGCCUUCUGGACUGACACUGACACUGAGGUGCGAAAGCGUGGGUAGCAAACAGGAUUAGAUACCCCGGUAGUC
Molecule: ribosomal RNA, 465 nt
Filed under: Vreelandella stevensii
Lineage: Bacteria; Pseudomonadati; Pseudomonadota; Gammaproteobacteria; Oceanospirillales; Halomonadaceae
Description: partial 16S ribosomal RNA
Rfam family: Bacterial small subunit ribosomal RNA
Source: RNAcentral